UAUGUGAUCGUCUCUCGCAUAUCAAUAAGCGGAGGAAAAGAAACUAACAAGGAUUCCCCUAGUAACGGCGAGUGAAGCGGGAAGAGCUCAAAUUUGAAAUCUUAAAGGGUUUCCCUUUACGAAUUGUAGUUUAAAGAAGUGUUUUCUGUUGAGGUUUUGGUAAAAGUUCUUUGGAAUAGGACAUCAUAGAGGGUGAGAAUCCCGUAUUUGACCUUUACUUUCAACUUUGUGAUACACUUUCAAAGAGUCGGAUUGUUUGGGAAUGCAGUCCAAAAUGGGUGGUAAAUUUCAUCUAAAGCUAAAUAUUGGCGAGAGACCGAUAGCGAACAAGUACCGUGAGGGAAAGAUGAAAAGAACUUUGAAAAGAGAGUUAAACAGUACGUGAAAUUGUCAAAAGGGAAGCGCUUGACACCAGUGUUGUUUUUCUGAAAAUCAAUUAAAGAACUGUUUAUGCUAAGCUGUUUAGACUUUAUCAGCUAAUCUGUUUAGUUUUGAGCUUUUCUUUAAUGCACUUUUCAGUUAACAAGUCAACAUUCAAUUUCUUUUGCUGUAAAAAAGCUUGAGGAAGGUGGCUUGAGAUUCGUCUUAAGUGUUUAUAGCCUCUUGCCUAUGCAGUCGGAGAGAUUGAGGUCUGCAGCGUAGAUCCUUCGGGGCUAAAUGCAUUUGUGCUAAGUUAUAGCAUUUUAUAGACAACUUGUUGACUAUGAUUUGUCUUGUAGCUUACUCGCUUAUGUUAUUUUACCUACGCUUAGGAUGUUGAUAUCGCGCUCUCACUG
RNAcentral lists this ribosomal RNA (776 nucleotides) under uncultured Neocallimastigales. Its description in RNAcentral is "partial large subunit ribosomal RNA". It matches the Rfam family "Eukaryotic large subunit ribosomal RNA", at positions 24 to 621 of the family's 3401-position model. The record is from RNAcentral. Lineage: Eukaryota; Fungi; Neocallimastigomycota; Neocallimastigomycetes; Neocallimastigales.